AGAACGAACGCUGGCGGCAUGCCUAACACAUGCAAGUCGAACGAGACCUUCGGGUCUAGUGGCGCACGGGUGCGUAACGCGUGGGAAUCUGCCCUUGGGUUCGGGAUAACAGUCGGAAACGACUGCUAAUACCGGAUGAUGACUUCGGUCCAAAGAUUUAUCGCCCAGGGAUGAGCCCGCGUAGGAUUAGCUAGUUGGUAAGGUAAAGGCUCACCAAGGCGACGAUCCUUAGCUGGUCUGAGAGGAUGACCAGCCACACUGGGACUGAGACACGGCCCAGACUCCUACGGGAGGCAGCAGUGGGGAAUAUUGGACAAGUGGGCGAAAGCCUGAUCCAGCAAUGCCGCGUGAGUGAUGAAGGUCCUUAGGGUAGUAAAGCUCGUUUUACCCGGGAUGUAAUAAGUAGACAGGUACCGGGAAGAACGUAACGCCCCGGACGUAACCUCCGACGACCGA
This 456-nucleotide ribosomal RNA is filed under the name uncultured soil bacterium. RNAcentral describes it as "bacterial SSU rRNA". It matches the Rfam family "Bacterial small subunit ribosomal RNA", at positions 26 to 522 of the family's 1533-position model. The record is from RNAcentral.